Molecule: ribosomal RNA, 311 nt
Filed under: Prorocentrum minimum
Lineage: Eukaryota; Dinophyceae; Prorocentrales; Prorocentraceae
Description: partial Bacterial small subunit ribosomal RNA
Rfam family: Bacterial small subunit ribosomal RNA
Source: RNAcentral
GGGGAUAACUAUCCGAAAGGAUAGCUAAUACCGCAUACGUCCUGAGGGAGAAAGCGGGGGACAGGCAACUGCCUCGCGUUAUUCGAGCGGCCAAUAACUGAUUAGCUAGUUGGUGGGGUAAAGGCCUACCAAGGCGACGAUCUGUAGCGGGUCUGAGAGGAUGAUCCGCCACACUGGGACUGAGACACGGCCCAGACUCCUACGGGAGGCAGCAGUGGGGAAUAUUGCACAAUGGGCGCAAGCCUGAUGCAGCCAUGCCGCGUGUAUGAAGAAGGCCUUCGGGUUGUAAAGUACUUUCAGUCAGGAGGAAG